CCUACGGGUGGCAGCAGUGGGGAAUAUUGGGCAAUGGGCGCAAGCCUGACCCAGCAGCGCCGCGUGAAGGAAGAAGGCUUUCGGGUUGUAAACUUCUUUUCUCAGGGACGAAGCAAGUGACGGUACCUGGGGAAUAAGCCACGGCUAACUACGUGCCAGCAGCCGCGGUAAUACGUAGGUGGCAAGCGUUAUCCGGAUUUACUGGGUGUAAAGGGCGUGUAGGCGGGAAAGCAAGUCAGAUGUGAAAACCAUGGGCUCAACCUGUGGCCUGCAUUUGAAACUGUUUUUCUUGAGUACUGGAGAGGCAGACGGAAUUCCUAGUGUAGCGGUGAAAUGCGUAGAGAUUAGGAGGAACACCAGUGGCGAAGGCGGUCUGCUGGACAGCAACUGACGCUGAGGCGCGAAAGCGUGGGGAGCAAACAGGAUUAGAUACCCUUGUGGUC
This 443-nucleotide ribosomal RNA is filed under the name uncultured bacterium. RNAcentral's name for it is "partial 16S ribosomal RNA". It matches the Rfam family "Bacterial small subunit ribosomal RNA", at positions 338 to 795 of the family's 1533-position model. The record is from RNAcentral.